This is a non-coding RNA of Camellia sinensis, 1471 nucleotides long. Lineage: Eukaryota; Viridiplantae; Streptophyta; Magnoliopsida; Ericales; Theaceae. The record is from RefSeq and is a predicted model, not a curated record.
UCCCAUUCUAUCUGUACAUGUUUUUCUCCAUACCCUCUCUCUCUCUCUCUCUCUCUCUCUCUCCGCGUGCGAUCUCUCAACCUCUCUUUGAGCAUUGCCUUGAUAGAUCGCGUGACUUCGCAUGGCUUCACAAUGUAUGUCAUUCACUUUCUCUCCCAAUCGAUCAAUUUUUCUGUCUCUUGAUCAUUUUUUUUCCCAAAAGCUUUGAAUUCAUCAAUUUAUUUGAAGUUAGGGUUCAGUGAGAGCCAUGGAAAUGUAGACUACGAAGCCAAAUGCAUUCUCAAUCAAUUGAUCUCAAACCCUAAUUGAUCUCUACACACUCCUCUGUAUCGAACGAUUCGACCUCUGUGCAGUCUCCUCUCUGAUCGCGAACUUGAACCGGUUGAAGUAAUUCAUCGAUGAUUGCAAGUCCAAUCCCUCAAUCCUCUCCGAUCUUUCUCUCUUUUUCUUCCGAGAUUACCUUGAAAGAUAAGAGACUGUUCUAUCGAGGUCAUGGAAGAAAACCGUGAUGCUUCGAAGGAGGCUAAGGUGCAGGGGAAACUGGAGGAAGCAAUAGAACAGCUCACACAGGCUAUUUUGCUCAAUCCAACCUCAGCAAUUAUGUAUUCAGGUUCUUUCAUCGCGAUCGUUUCAGCCGAAGUCUUCUUCGAAGAAUGUUAUCACGCUUCUUGGUUCGUGAAGGUGCACGUAUGUGGGCAAAAUCUAAGGGUAUUCCUUUGCUGGCAAGUAUACUGGAGGCUAAUGAGUGGCUAGUUACAUAGAGGGCAAAAAGACAGUGGGAAAAAUACAAAUCAAUGCUUGAUGAUGCAAAAGCCAUGAAAGCAGAAAUUGAUGGAGAACUUUCCUCUAGCACUCAAGAGAAUGUUGCUGUAUCAGGUUGCUACUGUUCAAGGUCUUUCAGGAACUGGUUCUCUUUGACUCGCUGUUGCACUCAUUGAAGAUAUCUCCCUAGGGCAAAGUUGUAAUAUCAUCCCCAACUUGGGGUAACCACAAGAAUAAUUUCAAUGAUGCUAGAGUUCCUUGGUCUGAAUACAGCUACUAUGAUCCAAAAACAGUUGGUUUGGAUUUUGAUGGGAUGAUAUCUGAGAUAAAGCAAGUGAAGAUGGUGAUGAUGAUGAUAAUUCAGUGACUGAGACUUGAGAUGUUGACACCAUGGUGUCUGAUAAACAAGAAAGCUAAUUGUUACAGCUAAGUGAUGAGUGUUGCAUUGCCAACAACUGUGAAGGAUGGUGAUCAUAAUCAUCUCUGGGCACUAUUGGAUCCCAAAACUUGGACAGUUCUUUCAUAGUGUAGAUCAUGUGAUUUAAAACUCUGGAUAGAUGCAUAAUCAGAUGGCAAAAAUUUGCCAUCUUUCAUAGUGUACAUCAUGUUGAUAAAUGAAUCCUAUGAUUUGGAUACUUUUUUUGAUUUGUAUGUUUGAAAUUGUUAUCAGCUUGAUAUGAUAGAAGUUAAGGAUGAAAAUUAGUAUGCA